This 2902-nucleotide ribosomal RNA is filed under the name Escherichia coli. RNAcentral's name for it is "bacterial LSU rRNA". It matches the Rfam family "Bacterial large subunit ribosomal RNA". Lineage: Bacteria; Pseudomonadati; Pseudomonadota; Gammaproteobacteria; Enterobacterales; Enterobacteriaceae. The record is from RNAcentral.
UUAAGCGACUAAGCGUACACGGUGGAUGCCCUGGCAGUCAGAGGCGAUGAAGGACGUGCUAAUCUGCGAUAAGCGUCGGUAAGGUGAUAUGAACCGUUAUAACCGGCGAUUUCCGAAUGGGGAAACCCAGUGUGUUUCGACACACUAUCAUUAACUGAAUCCAUAGGUUAAUGAGGCGAACCGGGGGAACUGAAACAUCUAAGUACCCCGAGGAAAAGAAAUCAACCGAGAUUCCCCCAGUAGCGGCGAGCGAACGGGGAGCAGCCCAGAGCCUGAAUCAGUGUGUGUGUUAGUGGAAGCGUCUGGAAAGGCGCGCGAUACAGGGUGACAGCCCCGUACACAAAAAUGCACAUGCUGUGAGCUCGAUGAGUAGGGCGGGACACGUGGUAUCCUGUCUGAAUAUGGGGGGACCAUCCUCCAAGGCUAAAUACUCCUGACUGACCGAUAGUGAACCAGUACCGUGAGGGAAAGGCGAAAAGAACCCCGGCGAGGGGAGUGAAAAAGAACCUGAAACCGUGUACGUACAAGCAGUGGGAGCACGCUUAGGCGUGUGACUGCGUACCUUUUGUAUAAUGGGUCAGCGACUUAUAUUCUGUAGCAAGGUUAACCGAAUAGGGGAGCCGAAGGGAAACCGAGUCUUAACUGGGCGUUAAGUUGCAGGGUAUAGACCCGAAACCCGGUGAUCUAGCCAUGGGCAGGUUGAAGGUUGGGUAACACUAACUGGAGGACCGAACCGACUAAUGUUGAAAAAUUAGCGGAUGACUUGUGGCUGGGGGUGAAAGGCCAAUCAAACCGGGAGAUAGCUGGUUCUCCCCGAAAGCUAUUUAGGUAGCGCCUCGUGAAUUCAUCUCCGGGGGUAGAGCACUGUUUCGGCAAGGGGGUCAUCCCGACUUACCAACCCGAUGCAAACUGCGAAUACCGGAGAAUGUUAUCACGGGAGACACACGGCGGGUGCUAACGUCCGUCGUGAAGAGGGAAACAACCCAGACCGCCAGCUAAGGUCCCAAAGUCAUGGUUAAGUGGGAAACGAUGUGGGAAGGCCCAGACAGCCAGGAUGUUGGCUUAGAAGCAGCCAUCAUUUAAAGAAAGCGUAAUAGCUCACUGGUCGAGUCGGCCUGCGCGGAAGAUGUAACGGGGCUAAACCAUGCACCGAAGCUGCGGCAGCGACGCUUAUGCGUUGUUGGGUAGGGGAGCGUUCUGUAAGCCUGCGAAGGUGUGCUGUGAGGCAUGCUGGAGGUAUCAGAAGUGCGAAUGCUGACAUAAGUAACGAUAAAGCGGGUGAAAAGCCCGCUCGCCGGAAGACCAAGGGUUCCUGUCCAACGUUAAUCGGGGCAGGGUGAGUCGACCCCUAAGGCGAGGCCGAAAGGCGUAGUCGAUGGGAAACAGGUUAAUAUUCCUGUACUUGGUGUUACUGCGAAGGGGGGACGGAGAAGGCUAUGUUGGCCGGGCGACGGUUGUCCCGGUUUAAGCGUGUAGGCUGGUUUUCCAGGCAAAUCCGGAAAAUCAAGGCUGAGGCGUGAUGACGAGGCACUACGGUGCUGAAGCAACAAAUGCCCUGCUUCCAGGAAAAGCCUCUAAGCAUCAGGUAACAUCAAAUCGUACCCCAAACCGACACAGGUGGUCAGGUAGAGAAUACCAAGGCGCUUGAGAGAACUCGGGUGAAGGAACUAGGCAAAAUGGUGCCGUAACUUCGGGAGAAGGCACGCUGAUAUGUAGGUGAGGUCCCUCGCGGAUGGAGCUGAAAUCAGUCGAAGAUACCAGCUGGCUGCAACUGUUUAUUAAAAACACAGCACUGUGCAAACACGAAAGUGGACGUAUACGGUGUGACGCCUGCCCGGUGCCGGAAGGUUAAUUGAUGGGGUUAGCGCAAGCGAAGCUCUUGAUCGAAGCCCCGGUAAACGGCGGCCGUAACUAUAACGGUCCUAAGGUAGCGAAAUUCCUUGUCGGGUAAGUUCCGACCUGCACGAAUGGCGUAAUGAUGGCCAGGCUGUCUCCACCCGAGACUCAGUGAAAUUGAACUCGCUGUGAAGAUGCAGUGUACCCGCGGCAAGACGGAAAGACCCCGUGAACCUUUACUAUAGCUUGACACUGAACAUUGAGCCUUGAUGUGUAGGAUAGGUGGGAGGCUUGGAAGUGUGGACGCCAGUCUGCAUGGAGCCGACCUUGAAAUACCACCCUUUAAUGUUUGAUGUUCUAACGUUGACCCGUAAUCCGGGUUGCGGACAGUGUCUGGUGGGUAGUUUGACUGGGGCGGUCUCCUCCUAAAGAGUAACGGAGGAGCACGAAGGUUGGCUAAUCCUGGUCGGACAUCAGGAGGUUAGUGCAAUGGCAUAAGCCAGCUUGACUGCGAGCGUGACGGCGCGAGCAGGUGCGAAAGCAGGUCAUAGUGAUCCGGUGGUUCUGAAUGGAAGGGCCAUCGCUCAACGGAUAAAAGGUACUCCGGGGAUAACAGGCUGAUACCGCCCAAGAGUUCAUAUCGACGGCGGUGUUUGGCACCUCGAUGUCGGCUCAUCACAUCCUGGGGCUGAAGUAGGUCCCAAGGGUAUGGCUGUUCGCCAUUUAAAGUGGUACGCGAGCUGGGUUUAGAACGUCGUGAGACAGUUCGGUCCCUAUCUGCCGUGGGCGCUGGAGAACUGAGGGGGGCUGCUCCUAGUACGAGAGGACCGGAGUGGACGCAUCACUGGUGUUCGGGUUGUCAUGCCAAUGGCACUGCCCGGUAGCUAAAUGCGGAAGAGAUAAGUGCUGAAAGCAUCUAAGCACGAAACUUGCCCCGAGAUGAGUUCUCCCUGACUCCUUGAGAGUCCUGAAGGAACGUUGAAGACGACGACGUUGAUAGGCCGGGUGUGUAAGCGCAGCGAUGCGUUGAGCUAACCGGUACUAAUGAACCGUGAGGCUUAACCUU